Phthorimaea operculella (potato tuberworm) is the source of this 74-nucleotide non-coding RNA. The record is from the annotation of a GenBank genome assembly. Lineage: Eukaryota; Metazoa; Arthropoda; Insecta; Lepidoptera; Gelechiidae.
ACCGGUGUGGCGCAGUGGUAGUGCAACUGCUUUCAGCGCAGAAGGUCCCGCGGGUUCGAUUCCCGGUUGAGGCA